This 63-nucleotide transfer RNA is filed under the name Macrolenostreptus orestes. Its description in RNAcentral is "tRNA-Trp". The record is from RNAcentral. Lineage: Eukaryota; Metazoa; Arthropoda; Diplopoda; Spirostreptida; Spirostreptidae.
AGAGCUUUAAGUUAUUCAAACUAUUAACCUUCAAAGUUAAAAAUAAAUCUAUUUUAAGCUUUA